Sceloporus undulatus (fence lizard) is the source of this 691-nucleotide long non-coding RNA. RefSeq lists it as uncharacterized. The transcript has 2 exons. The record is from RefSeq and is a predicted model, not a curated record. Lineage: Eukaryota; Metazoa; Chordata; Lepidosauria; Squamata; Phrynosomatidae.
GAGCAACAUGUGGCUUCUAGAUAUGGAUUGCAGUUCCCAUCAGCCAUAACCUUCAUAGCCAAUGGUGAGGAAUGAUGAGAUUUCCAGUCAAACAACUUCUGGAGUGCUGUGUGUUUCCAUCCCUGCUCAGAAGCUCGAGUUUGGUUUCAAAGGGAGCGUCUAAUAGUCACAGGAAAUAAGAACCUGAAAUGUGCACAACGAAGGAUGCAAAUUGGACAGAGAGUUGGCAGAUGAAACCACAUACCGCCAAUGAUCCCUGCAAAUGCACAUGAAUAUUGAUGACUUGCAUCCUCCUCUUAAAUGUGGGAUUUUUCAGGCCUGGGAUGCUUGCAGCUGCACACUCACAGCUUGGAGCUCUCUGAGAGAACAUUCCUAACCUGGGAAUAUGCAGACCUUUUUCUGACAAUCUCCCGCUGUUCUUCAGUCAAUAAUGAAAACAAUCCUUCCUUCUUCCUCUCUAUCCUGCUGGCAUGGGGACUCCAGCCAAAGAUCGAGCUGGUGCAAUGGAUUGGACUGUAAGAAUAUAUAGUACCUCAUCUUCAGAGUAUUUCCUUUGAUCUCAGCAAGGUAAAAUACAGCUUCUAAUGAUGAUGGAGAAAGCUAUGUACUCAUAAGCAUAAGGCACACUGAAAGGACAUCAGUGCCAUAGUUUAUGGUUUUGUGCAACCAUUAAAGUAAGUAUAGGUGAGAA